Molecule: non-coding RNA, 45 nt
Organism: Schistosoma rodhaini
Lineage: Eukaryota; Metazoa; Platyhelminthes; Trematoda; Strigeidida; Schistosomatidae
Source: Rfam
AUCCAGAUGACGUAUCCCAAAUAGGAUGAAAUGUGUAUCCUGAAU